GAAACUGCGAAUGGCUCAUUAAAUCAGUUAUCGUUUAUUUGAUAGUACCUACCCACUACUUGGAUAUCCGUGGUAAUUCUAGAGCUAAUACAUGCUAAAAGCCCCGACUUCGGGAGGGGUGUAUUUAUUAGAUAAAAAACCAAUGCCCCUCGGGGCUCCUUGGUGAAUCAUGAUAACUUUACGGAUCGCAUGGCCUUGCGCCGGCGACGGUUCAUUCAAAUUUCUGCCCUAUCAACUUUCGAUGGUAAGGUAUUGGCUUACCAUGGUUUCAACGGGUAACGGGGAAUUAGGGUUCGAUUCCGGAGAGGGAGCCUGAGAAACGGCUACCACAUCCAAGGAAGGCAGCAGGCGCGCAAAUUACCCAAUGCUAAUUCAAGCGAGGUAGUGACAAGAAAUACUGAUACAGGGCUCUUUUGGGUCUUGUAAUCGGAAUGAGUACAAUUUAAAUACCUUAACGAGGAACAAUUGGAGGGCAAGUCUGGUGCCAGCAGCCGCGGUAAUUCCAGCUCCAAUAGCGUAUAUUAAAGUUGUUGCAGUUAAAAAGCUCGUAGUUGAACCUUGGGCCUGGCUGGCCGGUCCGCCUCACCGCGUGUACUGGUCCGGCCGGGCCUUUCCUUCUGGAGAGCCGCAUGCCCUUCACUGGGUGUGUCGGGGAACCAGGACUUUUACUUUGAAAAAAUUAGAGUGUUCAAAGCAGGCCUUUGCUCGAAUACGUUAGCAUGGAAUAAUAGAAUAGGACGUGCGGUCCUAUUUUGUUGGUUUCUAGGACCGCCGUAAUGAUUAAUAGGGAUGGUCGGGGGCAUCAGUAUUCAAUUGUCAGAGGUGAAAUUCUUGGAUUUAUUGAAGACUAACUACUGCGAAAGCAUUUGCCAAGGAUGUUUUCAUUAAUCAGUGAACGAAAGUUAGGGGAUCGAAGACGAUCAGAUACCGUCGUAGUCUUAACCGUAAACUAUGCCGACUAGGGAUCGGGCGAUGUUUCUAUCUUGACUCGCUCGGCACCUUACGAGAAAUC
Molecule: ribosomal RNA, 1012 nt
Filed under: Ernakulamia cochinensis
Lineage: Eukaryota; Fungi; Ascomycota; Dothideomycetes; Pleosporales; Tetraplosphaeriaceae
Description: SSU rRNA
Rfam family: Eukaryotic small subunit ribosomal RNA
Source: RNAcentral